UUGCAUAGCAAAACUCAUGUAGAUGCAAACAAAUAUUAUUUUUCUGAAGCAUAAAAAUUCGUAACAACUCCCAGGAAAUCUGGACUCCAACAACUAUUGCCACAAAAAACUGGAAAUCCACAUCCAGAUCAACUCAAUGGAAAGCAAUGCAGCUUAGAAUGCAAUCCAGUAUGUUAAAUCUUUCGGCCUCAAAAGCCAAGGUU
Non-coding RNA from Oryza sativa Japonica Group (Japanese rice), 203 nucleotides. NCBI's taxonomy places the organism in Eukaryota, Viridiplantae, Streptophyta, Magnoliopsida, Poales, Poaceae. The record is from RefSeq and is a predicted model, not a curated record.